Molecule: ribosomal RNA, 1172 nt
Filed under: Enterococcus sp.
Lineage: Bacteria; Bacillati; Bacillota; Bacilli; Lactobacillales; Enterococcaceae
Description: bacterial SSU rRNA
Rfam family: Bacterial small subunit ribosomal RNA
Source: RNAcentral
GGCGGCGGCGUGCUAUACAUGCAGUCGACGCUUUUUCUUUCACCGGAGCUUGCUCCACCGAAAGAAAAAGAGUGGCGAACGGGUGAGUAACACGUGGGUAACCUGCCCAUCAGAAGGGGAUAACACUUGGAAACAGGUGCUAAUACCGUAUAACACUAUUUUCCGCAUGGAAGAAAGUUGAAAGGCGCUUUUGCGUCACUGAUGGAUGGACCCGCGGUGCAUUAGCUAGUUGGUGAGGUAACGGCUCACCAAGGCAACGAUGCAUAGCCGACCUGAGAGGGUGAUCGGCCACACUGGGACUGAGACACGGCCCAGACUCCUACGGGAGGCAGCAGUAGGGAAUCUUCGGCAAUGGACGAAAGUCUGACCGAGCAACGCCGCGUGAGUGAAGAAGGUUUUCGGAUCGUAAAACUCUGUUGUUAGAGAAGAACAAGGAUGAGAGUAAAAUGUUCAUCCCUUGACGGUAUCUAACCAGAAAGCCACGGCUAACUACGUGCCAGCAGCCGCGGUAAUACGUAGGUGGCAAGCGUUGUCCGGAUUUAUUGGGCGUAAAGCGAGCGCAGGCGGUUUCUUAAGUCUGAUGUGAAAGCCCCCGGCUCAACCGGGGAGGGUCAUUGGAAACUGGGAGACUUGAGUGCAGAAGAGGAGAGUGGAAUUCCAUGUGUAGCGGUGAAAUGCGUAGAUAUAUGGAGGAACACCAGUGGCGAAGGCGGCUCUCUGGUCUGUAACUGACGCUGAGGCUCGAAAGCGUGGGGAGCGAACAGGAUUAGAUACCCUGGUAGUCCACGCCGUAAACGAUGAGUGCUAAGUGUUGGAGGGUUUCCGCCCUUCAGUGCUGCAGCAAACGCAUUAAGCACUCCGCCUGGGGAGUACGACCGCAAGGUUGAAACUCAAAGGAAUUGACGGGGGCCCGCACAAGCGGUGGAGCAUGUGGUUUAAUUCGAAGCAACGCGAAGAACCUUACCAGGUCUUGACAUCCUUUGACCACUCUAGAGAUAGAGCUUCCCCUUCGGGGGCAAAGUGACAGGUGGUGCAUGGUUGUCGUCAGCUCGUGUCGGGAGAUGUUGGGUUAAGUCCCGCAACGAGCGCAACCCUUAUUGUUAGUUGCCAUCAUUUAGUUGGGCCCCUAGCGAGACUGGCCGGUGACAAACCGGAGGAAGGGGGGGAUGACG